RNAcentral lists this transfer RNA (86 nucleotides) under Mimica arnoldii. RNAcentral's name for it is "tRNA-Tyr". It matches the Rfam family "tRNA". From Rfam's summary of the family: Transfer RNA (tRNA) molecules are approximately 80 nucleotides in length. The record is from RNAcentral. Lineage: Eukaryota; Rhodophyta; Florideophyceae; Gigartinales; Solieriaceae.
GAAGAGAUGGCUGAGUGGCUUAAAGCGGUAGACUGUAAAUCUAUUAAUUCAAUAAUUACUCGUAGGUUCGAAUCCUACUCUCUUCA